UGCUGCAUGUAAACGCAUUAACCUGCUUUCUAUAUAAAAUAAGUCAUUGUAAAAACAGUUUUGUGAAAUUCUAAUUUUCUAAAUCUGAAAUUUCAUUCUAGAUAUGUGAGAUUCUUGCUGGUGCAGAUGGACAGCUUGAUACCCUGGUUAAAACCUUUGAAGAUUUCACAAGACUUCAGGAAGCACAUCCAGAGUCAGACUUUCCGUAGACUGGGCUACAUUUGCAAGAUGGAAAGGUGCAUUAAGAGCUGGGUGACAUGACUUCAGAUGCUAAAGAGGAGAGUGCUUUCAAAGUCCUGCCCAUUCUGGAGGAAGGGUCCACAGAACCACAGAAUUCUGGAAGCCAUUCAUUGACAUACAAACCUGU
This is a long non-coding RNA of Labeo rohita (rohu), 367 nucleotides long. RefSeq lists it as uncharacterized. NCBI's taxonomy places the organism in Eukaryota, Metazoa, Chordata, Actinopteri, Cypriniformes, Cyprinidae. The transcript has 3 exons. The record is from RefSeq and is a predicted model, not a curated record.